This 2893-nucleotide ribosomal RNA is filed under the name Escherichia coli HVH 24 (4-5985145). RNAcentral describes it as "bacterial LSU rRNA". It matches the Rfam family "Bacterial large subunit ribosomal RNA". Lineage: Bacteria; Pseudomonadati; Pseudomonadota; Gammaproteobacteria; Enterobacterales; Enterobacteriaceae. The record is from RNAcentral.
UUAAGCGACUAAGCGUACACGGUGGAUGCCCUGGCAGUCAGAGGCGAUGAAGGACGUGCUAAUCUGCGAUAAGCGUCGGUGAGGUGAUAUGAACCGUUAUAACCGGCGAUUUCCGAAUGGGGAAACCCAGUGUGUUUCGACACACUAUCAUUAACUGAAUCCAUAGGUUAAUGAGGCGAACCGGGGGAACUGAAACAUCUAAGUACCCCGAGGAAAAGAAAUCAACCGAGAUUCCCCCAGUAGCGGCGAGCGAACGGGGAGGAGCCCAGAGCCUGAAUCAGUGUGUGUGUUAGUGGAAGCGUCUGGAAAGGCGCGCGAUACAGGGUGACAGCCCCGUACACAAAAAUGCACAUGCUGUGAGCUCGAUGAGUAGGGCGGGACACGUGGUAUCCUGUCUGAAUAUGGGGGGACCAUCCUCCAAGGCUAAAUACUCCUGACUGACCGAUAGUGAACCAGUACCGUGAGGGAAAGGCGAAAAGAACCCCGGCGAGGGGAGUGAAAAAGAACCUGAAACCGUGUACGUACAAGCAGUGGGAGCCUCUUUAUGGGGUGACUGCGUACCUUUUGUAUAAUGGGUCAGCGACUUAUAUUCUGUAGCAAGGUUAACCGAAUAGGGGAGCCGAAGGGAAACCGAGUCUUAACUGGGCGUUAAGUUGCAGGGUAUAGACCCGAAACCCGGUGAUCUAGCCAUGGGCAGGUUGAAGGUUGGGUAACACUAACUGGAGGACCGAACCGACUAAUGUUGAAAAAUUAGCGGAUGACUUGUGGCUGGGGGUGAAAGGCCAAUCAAACCGGGAGAUAGCUGGUUCUCCCCGAAAGCUAUUUAGGUAGCGCCUCGUGAAUUCAUCUCCGGGGGUAGAGCACUGUUUCGGCAAGGGGGUCAUCCCGACUUACCAACCCGAUGCAAACUGCGAAUACCGGAGAAUGUUAUCACGGGAGACACACGGCGGGUGCUAACGUCCGUCGUGAAGAGGGAAACAACCCAGACCGCCAGCUAAGGUCCCAAAGUCAUGGUUAAGUGGGAAACGAUGUGGGAAGGCCCAGACAGCCAGGAUGUUGGCUUAGAAGCAGCCAUCAUUUAAAGAAAGCGUAAUAGCUCACUGGUCGAGUCGGCCUGCGCGGAAGAUGUAACGGGGCUAAACCAUGCACCGAAGCUGCGGCAGCGACGCUUAUGCGUUGUUGGGUAGGGGAGCGUUCUGUAAGCCUGUGAAGGUGUGCUGUGAGGCAUGCUGGAGGUAUCAGAAGUGCGAAUGCUGACAUAAGUAACGAUAAAGCGGGUGAAAAGCCCGCUCGCCGGAAGACCAAGGGUUCCUGUCCAACGUUAAUCGGGGCAGGGUGAGUCGACCCCUAAGGCGAGGCCGAAAGGCGUAGUCGAUGGGAAACAGGUUAAUAUUCCUGUACUUGGUGUUACUGCGAAGGGGGGACGGAGAAGGCUAUGUUGGCCGGGCGACGGUUGUCCCGGUUUAAGCGUGUAGGCUGGUUUUCCAGGCAAAUCCGGAAAACCAAGGCUGAGGCGUGAUGACGAGGCACUACGGUGCUGAAGCGACAAAUGCCCUGCUUCCAGGAAAAGCCUCUAAGCAUCAGGUAACAUCAAAUCGUACCCCAAACCGACACAGGUGGUCAGGUAGAGAAUACCAAGGCGCUUGAGAGAACUCGGGUGAAGGAACUAGGCAAAAUGGUGCCGUAACUUCGGGAGAAGGCACGCUGAUAUGUAGGUGAAGCGACUUGCUCGUGGAGCUGAAAUCAGUCGAAGAUACCAGCUGGCUGCAACUGUUUAUUAAAAACACAGCACUGUGCAAACACGAAAGUGGACGUAUACGGUGUGACGCCUGCCCGGUGCCGGAAGGUUAAUUGAUGGGGUUAGCGGCAACGCGAAGCUCUUGAUCGAAGCCCCGGUAAACGGCGGCCGUAACUAUAACGGUCCUAAGGUAGCGAAAUUCCUUGUCGGGUAAGUUCCGACCUGCACGAAUGGCGUAAUGAUGGCCAGGCUGUCUCCACCCGAGACUCAGUGAAAUUGAACUCGCUGUGAAGAUGCAGUGUACCCGCGGCAAGACGGAAAGACCCCGUGAACCUUUACUAUAGCUUGACACUGAACAUUGAGCCUUGAUGUGUAGGAUAGGUGGGAGGCUUUGAAGUGUGGACGCCAGUCUGCAUGGAGCCGACCUUGAAAUACCACCCUUUAAUGUUUGAUGUUCUAACGUUGGCCCGUAAUCCGGGUUGCGGACAGUGUCUGGUGGGUAGUUUGACUGGGGCGGUCUCCUCCUAAAGAGUAACGGAGGAGCACGAAGGUUGGCUAAUCCUGGUCGGACAUCAGGAGGUUAGUGCAAUGGCAUAAGCCAGCUUGACUGCGAGCGUGACGGCGCGAGCAGGUGCGAAAGCAGGUCAUAGUGAUCCGGUGGUUCUGAAUGGAAGGGCCAUCGCUCAACGGAUAAAAGGUACUCCGGGGAUAACAGGCUGAUACCGCCCAAGAGUUCAUAUCGACGGCGGUGUUUGGCACCUCGAUGUCGGCUCAUCACAUCCUGGGGCUGAAGUAGGUCCCAAGGGUAUGGCUGUUCGCCAUUUAAAGUGGUACGCGAGCUGGGUUUAGAACGUCGUGAGACAGUUCGGUCCCUAUCUGCCGUGGGCGCUGGAGAACUGAGGGGGGCUGCUCCUAGUACGAGAGGACCGGAGUGGACGCAUCACUGGUGUUCGGGUUGUCAUGCCAAUGGCACUGCCCGGUAGCUAAAUGCGGAAGAGAUAAGUGCUGAAAGCAUCUAAGCACGAAACUUGCCCCGAGAUGAGUUCUCCCUGACUCCUUGAGGGUCCUGAAGGAACGUUGAAGACGACGACGUUGAUAGGCCGGGUGUGUAAGCGCAGCGAUGCGUUGAGCUAACCGGUACUAAUGAACCGUGAG